GUCCAAAGGACUCUCAAGAGUUUUCUCCAGCACCACAGUUCAAAGACAUCAAUUCUUCAGUGCUCAGCCUUUUUUAUUGUCCAGCUCUCACAUCUGUAUGUGACUACUGGAAAAACGACUGGAAAAGGUUGAGAGAUAUUUAACCACUCAUUUGCAGGAAAGAUCCAAUUGAGAGAAAAAAAACUGAUAAUACAUGCAGAACGGGAGACAUUUGCUAGAAGAAUAUCCUAGAAUAGGAGAGGAAGUUAGCAAAAUGAGGAGAAACACAAGACAAGAAGACACAGGUACAGGAAGAAGGAAAUCCAAUAACAAUAAUAACAUAAGAGACAGAGUUAAUUCUCUCUUCUGGCAAAAGGAAGUCUCAAGAGGACAGAAGUACAGAUUGGCAGAAAAUAAUGAAGGACUACAAAAGUUUGUACUCCAAGAGGAAGAAAAAGUGGAACCCAUAGUUUUAUUUAAUGUCUGACCAUAUUUUAGGGAAUUUUAUACUCAGAUGCUCAGGCAUGUCUGACUCUUUGUAACCCCAUGAACUGAAGCCCACCAGGCUCCUCUGUCUAUGGGAUUGUCUAGAAAAGGAUACUGGAAUGGGUUUCCAUUUCCUUCUGCAUGGGACUUUUACGGUACUGUGCAGUUAGUGAAAGGUACAUAGGAAAACUGAGCAAACAGCCGAAUGAGACAAUUACCACUGGAAAGAAAUAUUUUAAAAAUUAAUGCAUGCGGGGAGCUGCCCACGAGAACGGGGUCUUUUGUCCGAAGGACACAGCUCUGGGAGCUGCCUCAGUCCUUGAGGGUUUGCUUGCAAACAUAGCUCUCUGUCCCACCACCCCAGAGAUUAGGCGCUUAUUUACUGCAGGCACCUGGAGUUCUGUGCAA
This is a long non-coding RNA of Bubalus bubalis (water buffalo), 873 nucleotides long. RefSeq lists it as uncharacterized. The record is from RefSeq and is a predicted model, not a curated record. Lineage: Eukaryota; Metazoa; Chordata; Mammalia; Artiodactyla; Bovidae. The transcript is spliced from 3 exons.